CUGAGUGGCGAACUGGUGAGUAACACGUGGGAAUCUGCCCAGAAGCAGGGGAUAACACUUGGAAACAGGUGCUAAUACCGUAUAACAACAAAAUCCGCAUGGAUUUUGUUUGAAAGGUGGCUUCGGCUAUCACUUCUGGAUGAUCCCGCGGCGUAUUAGUUAGUUGGUGAGGUAAAGGCCCACCAAGACGAUGAUACGUAGCCGACCUGAGAGGGUAAUCGGCCACAUUGGGACUGAGACACGGCCCAAACUCCUACGGGAGGCAGCAGUAGGGAAUCUUCCACAAUGGACGAAAGUCUGAUGGAGCAAUGCCGCGUGAGUGAAGAAGGGUUUCGGCUCGUAAAACUCUGUUGUUAAAGAAGAACACCUUUGAGAGUAACUGUUCAAGGGUUGACGGUAUUUAACCAGAAAGCCACGGCUAACUACGUGCCAGCAGCCGCGGUAAUACGUAGGUGGCAAGCGUUGUCCGGAUUUAUUGGGCGUAAAGCGAGCGCAGGCGGUUUUUUAAGUCUGAUGUGAAAGCCUUCGGCUUAACCGGAGAAGUGCAUCGGAAACUGG
Molecule: ribosomal RNA, 558 nt
Filed under: Levilactobacillus brevis
Lineage: Bacteria; Bacillati; Bacillota; Bacilli; Lactobacillales; Lactobacillaceae
Description: bacterial SSU rRNA
Rfam family: Bacterial small subunit ribosomal RNA
Source: RNAcentral